This 435-nucleotide ribosomal RNA is filed under the name uncultured bacterium. Its description in RNAcentral is "partial 16S ribosomal RNA". It matches the Rfam family "Bacterial small subunit ribosomal RNA", at positions 28 to 507 of the family's 1533-position model. The record is from RNAcentral.
GAUGAACGCUGGCGGUAUGCUUAACACAUGCAAGUCGAACGGACUCUUCGGAGUUAGUGGCGGACGGGUGAGUAACGCGUGAGAAUCUGGCUUUGGGUUCGGGACAACCACUGGAAACGGUGGCUAAUACCGGAUGUGCCGAGAGGUAAAAGAGAAAUUGCCUGAAGAUGAGCUCGCGUCUGAUUAGCUAGUUGGUGAGGUAAAGGCUCACCAAGGCAGCGAUCAGUAGCUGGUCUGAGAGGAUGACCAGCCACACUGGGACUGAGACACGGCCCAGACUCCUACGGGAGGCAGCAGGGGGGAAUUUUCCGCAAUGGGCGAAAGCCUGACGGAGCAAUACCGCGUGAGGGAAGAAGGCUCUUGGGUUGUAAACCUCUUUUCUUAGGGAAGAACAAAAUGACGGUACCUAAGGAAUCAGCAUCGGCUAACUCCGUG